RNAcentral lists this long non-coding RNA (1035 nucleotides) under Homo sapiens (human). RNAcentral's name for it is "HSALNT0402876". The record is from RNAcentral. Lineage: Eukaryota; Metazoa; Chordata; Mammalia; Primates; Hominidae.
GGUGGGUAGCAGGAAGUGGGAGUAGCCUGCUGCAGAGGCAGAGGCUCAUGGAAAGUCUCUACUAGGGCAGUGCACCUGUGGUUUUGCAGGGUGUAGCCCCCAUGGCUGCUCUCAUGGGCUGGGCUGGUGUUGAGUGCCUGUAGCUUUUCCAUGCAGAGAGUGCAAGCUGUUGGUGGGUCUAUGAAUCUGCAGUCUGGAGGAUGGUGGCCUCCUGUGUGGGAGCUCCGAGCCCAUAUUUUCCUUCUGCACUGCACUUGUAGAGGUUCUCCAGGAGAUUCUGCCUCUGCAGGAAGCUUCUGCCUGGAAACAGUAGGCGGUGGUGUGGGUGGAUCCUUCACCAUUGGUUAAUCUUCCUGAUGCUGAUCUCCUGAUAGUGAGUUCUCAUGAGAUCUGGUUGUAUAACCUGGUGUGGCACCUCUUUCCUCUCUGUGUCUUCUUCCUACUCCUGCCAUAUGGAACAUCUCAUUGUCACUUGGGCUUUUGGUAUGAUUGGGAGGCUCCCUGAGUCCUCCCAGAAGCAGAAACCACUUGCUGCCUUUACAUCCUGCAAAACCAUGAGCCAAUUAAACCUCUUUAAAAAAUAAUAUUACAGAAAAUUUGUACUGUAGACUGGAGCUAUGAAAUGCCUUCAAGGUUUCCCCCCACCUUUUUUUUUUUUUACCAUUAGCAUUUGGCUUCUUUUAUAUGGAAAUAUAUGAAGCCUUCUUGAAUUUUCCCCCUGAAAAUGGACUUUUCUCCUUUCACCACAUUGCCAGGCUGCCACAACGGUGGCUGAAAAUGUAGAAGUAGGUUCAGAAGUGGGUAAUCACCGGACGCUGCACAGUUUGGGGGUCUUGGAAGAAGACAGAAAGAUGAGGGAAAAUUUGGAGUAUUGUAGAGACGUGUUAAAUUAAAAGGGUGACCAUAGAGACUUUUUACAUAGCUAUAAUUAAAAGAGUGACUGAAGGAUGGCCAUGUGGUCAAAAAGCAAAGCUGAUUUUCAGUGGGAAAAUUCAAGAAGGCUUCCGAAAUUUGCAUAAAAUGGAGCCCAGUGCU